AAUGAACGCUGGCGGCGUGGAUAAGACAUGCAAGUCGAACGAGAAUACUGAUUAGUUUACUAAGAUGUAUUUUAGUGGCGGACGGGUUAGUAACACGUGAGCAACAUGCCUUAAAGUGGGGGAUAGCCUUCCGAAAGGGAGAUUAAUACCGCAUGUGGUCUUCGGAUCAAAGACGCCUUUGGGUGUCGCUUUAAGAUUGGCUCGCGGCCUAUCAGCUAGAUGGUGAGGUAACGGCUCACCAUGGCAACGACGGGUAGCUGGUCUGAGAGGACGAUCAGCAACACUGGAACUGAGACACGGUCCAG
Molecule: ribosomal RNA, 305 nt
Filed under: uncultured Persicirhabdus sp.
Lineage: Bacteria; Pseudomonadati; Verrucomicrobiota; Verrucomicrobiia; Verrucomicrobiales; Verrucomicrobiaceae
Description: bacterial SSU rRNA
Rfam family: Bacterial small subunit ribosomal RNA
Source: RNAcentral